AAUUUGAUGACUCUGGUAACUCCACCGAGGGCUGCUAACCACUUUUUUUAAAGGAUUGGUCUGCAACAGCAGGGUUCAAAUAAUGCCUGUUUCUGGUUGGAGCCAAGUGAUAAGAAACCUUUACACAAAGAAAAACUGAAAAUAAUAGAUGCAGUAGGGAAGAUGCCCGAGUUAUAAAUGCUGCUGAGUCAAAGUUGAUCUCUGAGAUAAAGAUGUAGCAGAAGAAGAAGGUCUGAAAGAAGACAACAAAAAGAAAAUGUCAUCAGUGCAGCAGUUCCAUCCAUGGAUGUAGGUAGGUCUUCAGGCAAUAAGACU
This is a long non-coding RNA of Alligator mississippiensis (American alligator), 315 nucleotides long. RefSeq lists it as uncharacterized. The transcript is spliced from 3 exons. The record is from RefSeq and is a predicted model, not a curated record. Lineage: Eukaryota; Metazoa; Chordata; Crocodylia; Alligatoridae.